Molecule: ribosomal RNA, 253 nt
Filed under: uncultured bacterium
Lineage: Bacteria
Description: partial 16S ribosomal RNA
Rfam family: Bacterial small subunit ribosomal RNA
Source: RNAcentral
UACAGAGGAUGCAAGCGUUAUCCGGAAUGAUUGGGCGUAAAGCGUCUGUAGGUGGCUUUUUAAGUCCGCCGUCAAAUCCCAGGGCUCAACUCUGGACAGGCGGUGGAAACUACCAAGCUGGAGUACGGUAGGGGCAGAGGGAAUUUCCGGUGGAGCGGUGAAAUGCGUAGAGAUGUGGAGGAAUACCGAUGGCGAAGGCAGCCCCCUGGGAUAACACUGACGCUCAUGCACGAAAGCGUGGGGAGCAAACAGG